This 486-nucleotide ribosomal RNA is filed under the name uncultured bacterium. Its description in RNAcentral is "partial 16S ribosomal RNA". It matches the Rfam family "Bacterial small subunit ribosomal RNA", at positions 30 to 507 of the family's 1533-position model. The record is from RNAcentral.
AUUGAACGCUGGCGGCAUGCCUUACACAUGCAAGUCGAACGGCAGCACGGGUGCUUGCACCUGGUGGCGAGUGGCGAACGGGUGAGUAAUACAUCGGAACAUGUCCUGUAGUGGGGGAUAGCCCGGCGAAAGCCGGAUUAAUACCGCAUACGAUCUACGUAUGAAAGCGGGGGACCUUCGGGCCUCGCGCUAUAGGGUUGGCCGAUAGCUGAUUAGCUAGUUGGUGGGGUAAAGGCCUACCAAGGCGACGAUCAGUAGCUGGUCUGAGAGGACGACCAGCCACACUGGGACUGAGCCACGGCCCAGACUCCUACGGGAGGCAGCAGUGGGGAAUUUUGGACAAUGGGCGAAAGCCUGAUCCAGCAAUGCCGCGUGUGUGAAGAAGGCCUUCGGGUUGUAAAGCACUUUUGUCCGGAAAGAAAUCCUUGGCUCUAAUACAGUCGGGGGAUGACGGUACCGGAAGAAUAAGCACCGGCUAACUACGUG